GCACAUUAGACUGAGUAAACAUCCGAGCAGGGAGAAGCUGUAGAUGCCGGCCUGAUCAGUGGUAUAGGAGAUAAGAGGAAGACCCCCAAGGGCCGAAACGUGUUGGAGCACUCCAUCAAUACGACUGACAACAGCGGCACGAAUAAGCAGCACCAGCUACACCAGAGACGGCACCCGGUCACGUGACUGAAGACCAGGAAGUAACUGCGGGCUACGAUCGGAAGAGAAACACCGAGGAGAAAGACUGACACUGAUGCGGUUAGCAGCGGAGGAGGAGAAUCAAGCUGCAUCAGCAGGAGUGCAAACAAUUGCUCUAGCCAGUGUGAGGAGUGGCACAGUUAAAGGCCGUUCCUUGGUGGUGGCAACUGCCGAGUGACAGAGAUCAGCAAAACAGGAUGGGAAAAGUUUGAGAUUUUAUGAAUUUCAAUGCUAACAAAUCACAUCACAAAGACAAUCAGAAGAUGGCCCAGAUGGAGGUACCACCAAAGGAAAGUUUAAUACCCACUGGAAACAGUGUGACUCUACUCAAAAUUCCAUCAACAAGUUAGCAGGUGUUAAGGCCACCAUACAUCUAAGCUCCGUUUUCCCAAUUCCCUGAUCCAACUGAAACAGCUGAUUUGCCGACAGGUGGCAAUCCACUGGGGAAUCAAGGAAAUUCUUCAUUUUAAAAUGCCCUGAUUUGCAGAUCCGACUGUUUUAUAUUUUUCAGUUCUGACAGAUGUGCAAGUAUGUGCUGCUGGAGAGAGAUCCAAAGGUCAUUUUAGAAGUACUGACCAAAAAAUAGGUCAAUACUGUAAAUUAGCCCCUUAAAGAAGAGAUAUGUGGUUCUGUUCUCCUGAAAAUCCAAAUCCACCCAAAUUAGUUUGAUCCGAACCAAAAACCUGGUCCGGAUCUCCUGUGAAGAUCUGAUUUGAACCGAGUCUUGGUUCGGAUUUUUGAGUAUUGGAUUGCAACAAUUACAUGAUUUUAGCUGUAUUUAUUGAUUUCUUUUAUCAACGAUUAUCGAUUUUGUUUUUGAUAUUUUUUACCUAAACAAAAACAAAGUCCGACCCAAAAAACUUGAGGGUGGAUUUUCAAAACCAAAAAUCAAAAGCAAUGGUGAAUUAGAAACACGACCCAAACAUGAGGAUUCGUGCAAUGGGGGUCAUUCCGAGUUGUUCGCUCGCUAGCUGCUUUUAGCAGCAUUGCACAUGCUAAGCCGCCACCCUCUGGGAGUGUAUCUUAGCUUAACAGAAUUGCGAACGAAAGAUUAGCAGAAUUGCGAAUAGAAAUUUCUUAGCAGUUUCUGAGUAGCUUGAGACUUACCCACAGAUUGCGAUCAGCUCAGCCCGUUUCGUUCCUGGUUUGACGUCACACACACGUCCAGCGUUCAGCCAGCCACUCCCCCGUUUCUCCAGACACUCCAGCGUUUUUCCCUGACACGCCUGCGUUUUUCCGCACACUCCCAGAAAAUGGCCAGUUUCCGCCCAGAAACACCCACUUCCUGUCAAUCACACCCUGAUCACUUCAACGAUGAAAAUUCUUCGUUCGGGCGUGAGUAAAUCUAAGUUUUGUGCAAAAAUACUUAGCGCAUGCAUGUGCAUUUUUGCCUUAAUCGCUCCAUUGUGAAAAUCGGCAACGAGCGAACAACUCGGAAUGACCCCCAAUGUUUGGUUAUUUUCAUACUGCUACUCAUUGGCAGUUAUUUACAAACAGGGAUAUGUGCACAUCUCUACCUUAAAAACACUAGAGAAAAGAAAUCCUAAAAAUGUUUGGUUAUUUUCAUACUGCUACUCAUUGCCAGUUAUUUACAAACAGGGAUAUGUGCACAUCUCUACCUUAAAAACACUAGAGAAAAAAAAUCCUAAAAAUGUUUGGUUAUUUUCAUAAUGGUACUCAUUGCCAGUUUUUUACACAUCCAAACCAUAGGUUUUACUAUGUAACAGUUUAGAGGAUCAAAACCCAAAUCACUGUUGAUACAGUAGUCUGAAAACACCAAAAUGUUAUACUAUCUUAGCUAGGGUAAAGAAAGAGAAAAAAAAAGACAAUUAAAAAAAAACCUCCCUCUCCCUUCUGUAACAAGCUGUCUUACUCAACAUCGGUCUCAGCAAAGAAGGUCAAAUGAUGGGACCCCACACCUUAAGAUGCCUAUUCCAAUAAUAAUUAGGACUGUCUCUUCCUGGUAUCCCUGGCCGGUGGUUACCAGGCUUAUAAUGUUGAAAUAUAGUGCCCAUUCUUAUGGUAUUACAAGUGCCAGCAUGGAAGUGAGUGGCAAUGCAUA
Long non-coding RNA from Pseudophryne corroboree (corroboree frog), 2260 nucleotides. RefSeq lists it as uncharacterized. NCBI's taxonomy places the organism in Eukaryota, Metazoa, Chordata, Amphibia, Anura, Myobatrachidae. The transcript is spliced from 5 exons. The record is from RefSeq and is a predicted model, not a curated record.